This 373-nucleotide ribosomal RNA is filed under the name uncultured bacterium. Its description in RNAcentral is "bacterial SSU rRNA". It matches the Rfam family "Bacterial small subunit ribosomal RNA", at positions 527 to 896 of the family's 1533-position model. The record is from RNAcentral.
GGAGGUGGCAACGCGUUGUUCGAAUUACUGGGCGAAAGGGCGCGUAGGCGAAAGGUCCGUCCGAUGAAAACGUGCUACCGCUCAACGGAGCAACGUCAUCGGAUACCACCUUUCUGGACGUCCGGGACGACGGUGAGCGGAAUUGCUGGUGACGCGGUGGAAUGACAGAUAUCAGCAAGAACACCUGUGGCGAAGGCGGCUCACUGGCCCGCGACUGACGCUGAGUGCGCUAAAGCGUGGGACGCAAACCGGAUUAGAUACCCCGGUAGUCCACGCCCUAAACGGUGGGCACUAGGUGUGGGAGGUAUCGACCCCUCCCGUGCCGCAGCCAACGCAUUAAGUGCCCCGCCUGGGGAGUACGGCCGCAAGGUUG